Long non-coding RNA from Scophthalmus maximus (turbot), 4232 nucleotides. RefSeq lists it as uncharacterized. The record is from RefSeq and is a predicted model, not a curated record. Lineage: Eukaryota; Metazoa; Chordata; Actinopteri; Pleuronectiformes; Scophthalmidae. The transcript has 2 exons.
CGUGACGCCAUGGGGUCUGCACGUGUAUGAUGGUCACCGCUGCAGUGGAAGGGUCCUUAGACGGACAUGAUGUGCUUGACAAAGGCUGUGGACGAAAAAAGCCCCAGGGCGGCAGACAGACAGGACAGAACAGGGCGAGUGCCAGCGGUGCAGCCACACCACCCCCACCCACCACCACCACCACAGGGCCCUGGUGAUGACGGAACUGCAUGAAUUCCUCCACUCUGCAGGCCCCUUCCCUUCCCCCCAUCCACUUGCUUUCACUGACCCCAUCUCCACGAGGCCAAGCCAGAGAAAGCCCCGGUCCCUCAGCUGUCAUCUGGGCUCACCCACGGCACCCCACGGCACCCCACGGCACCUUCUCCAAAGUCCGACUUCCCUUCGCUUCCCUUCCCCAGAUAGAAACUCUGCCCCAGUCCUUGCACCUGUGCUGCAGUCCAAUCUGAGCUCCAUUAUAGAAUCUUAAUGGAUUCAGCCGCAUUGCAGAGCUGGGCUUUAUUAAGAUGUGAUGGCAGGUCGGCUUGAGCAGAGGAAGAAGGAAGUUUAUUUGGCACUGACGUGUGCCAAGUAUAGUGUGAAUCGCGUACAGCAUGUGAUCUCAAGUAGCCCAUUGUUACAACAAAAUCCAUAUAAGGGGCUGUUUUAGGGAUUCAAAUUGUCUUUUUAUUCCCACCCAGUACAAGUUUCUGAGAGCUGUCUGUGUCGACACACUGCCCCUGCUUCAUGUCUGCUAUGCCGAUCUAUGAAAUAUACACUUUUCUUGUCAAAAAGAAAAAAAGAAAUGAAAAAAAAACCUUCAUUUAGUAGGUUUGUUCUCUGUGGUUAGUGUUUGAUAAGGCAGCCUGAACAAACAUGAGUUUCUAAAUAAGUUUCAGUGUUGCCCCCUGCUACUGAGUCAUUGAAGGUAUCACAUUCGUGAAGAUAAUCGUCUCCUUCUGACUGAACAUGUAACCCUUUACUUAUUCAUCGUCAGUGUCCAAACAACACUGGAGAUGUGAGGUCAGAUCUCUUUUAAAGAGCGGAGGGGCCAUUUCAAUUGUACGAUAAAGGGAGCGGCACAGCAGUGACCCGCGCCACCUGAAGAUCAGUCUCAACAACCAUCCCCCGGUGAAAACUGCUGCCAGUGAACCUGCGUACCACAUCUCGUUGCAAUCCAUCGAAUAAUCUUUGAGAUAUUUCAGUUUGAACCAAAGUGGUGAGUUUGACCGACUGACCAAGAGACCAAACAUUGCCACCCCUGGAGUCAUGGUGCUAAGAUGACGAGAAGAAGAAAAAACAGGUUGUCGCCACUUUGCAUAAGUUAAGCUCAAAGAAUACCGAUCUAUAAAUAUCCCAGUUAGACUGUGAAUGACAGCUGUCAGAGCUUUGCUUGACCUGUGAUCCUUCUUCGGCUGUCUGCUCUUCCAGUUGGCCCAUACGUGUCGUAAAAGUCUGCUUCUUUAGCCUCCUUCUAAUUCAAACCAUGGUGGUCAUCUAACUAUGGUAGAAACAACAAUGUGGGUGUCACCAUUGUGAAAACUUUGUUAUUCAAGCAUUUUGGGAUAAAAAAAAAUAAAGUAGAGGACAAAAUGAAACAAAUGUGGCGCAUUUGAUAAAAAACUAACAUUAUGAUCGAGCCAACAACUUUGAUUCAUUUAAAUUUUUGCUCUUACUUUGCAGAGUUUGCAGGAGUGAUAUUGCAGCCGAGAGAGCGAACAAGAUCUCAUACUCAGGCUUGAAAAAUAUGUUGAUAAACUGAAGCCGGAAGCCUCAGAAGACAAGUUUUUUUCUUAUUCUAUCACUUCAGAUUGUGAAAUACAGAGACAUGACAGAAGGGGUUUAGGGGGAUAUUCUUUUGCAAACUAGUAUGCUUGGAUCUAUCUCUGUGUCACCGCCUCACUCUCUUGCUUUGUCCUUGGAGGGGGAGGUGAGCGGGGCAUUUAUUACCUCCAGGUUUGCUUCAGGCCAGGCGCUAUAACUGUCUGCUCCCAGGAAUGAUGGUGUGAUCUGAAGCACCGAUGCCUGCUUGGCGCUUUGCGCUCAAUUUCACCGUCCACCACACGGCAUUUUUUCUAACGUGGAUCCCGACGUGAACUCUCUCUCUCUCUCUCUCUCUGAACAGAUGAAAUGUCAGUCUCGUCACCAGGACCGGGACUAAAAACAUACAACCCUGAAGUUGAGAGCUGUGCAGUUAAGAGUCUGUGAGGGAGAAAUGACAGAGGCGUGGCCAAUGACAUGUGAGGAAACUUGAGCUUGAAAAUAAAAAGGCAGAGGCUCCCAGGUCCUCAGUGGAGAGUUGGAGCGUCGAGAGGGGUUACUGUACUGGACUGAUGGAACUUCCUUUGCCGCAAACGCAUGCAGCAGAGGUCACCCAGUCAGCCAUCUGGGAUGACUAGAGAGUAGAUUUUGGACUCUGGGUCUGUCCAGCCCCCCCACUCCUCUGCUUUUUUUUUCUUUUUUCAGACCCGGAGUGCUUCCUUCCCUGCCCUCCAACCAUGCCAAAAGGAAUGAGGCUGUAACUGAGCCUGGGGGGACAGAUGGAGCCUAUUUAUAGCCCCUUCAGAGAGGUGUGAAGUUUCUUGGGAUUUCUAAGAGCAGGGGCCUUGGCUCCUUAAGGGGGCUGAUGCAGCCUAUGUGGCCCGCGUGCUCUCUUUCCCUCCCUCGCGCUCUCAAACGCCCUUCUCUGGCCACACAGGGAUUAGAUGGGGGCAGGCUAAACAAAGACACUUGCUGCCCUUUUUACUGGGGACACUGCAUUACUGGAGAGGAAGGGAAUCCGAUAGUGGCCAAAAGGGACAGUCCCUCCCGUCUUUUUCUCCAGCUGAUGACUUGAUCUUCCUUUAACACUGUGGAAGUCGUGACCUCGCCACCGCUGCCGCGGUCGGGACAAUCACACUGUCAUCGCCCAUGGCACAAAUGGUGACGCUUGUGCAAAGGGUGUUUAUUGGAUUUGACAGUGCAUACUGUAACUCUGAGUCAGGAUGGCACCGAUUCUGUUCAAAAGGUGGUGUUGACGGGGCCAGCUACUUUACAGUUAAUGAACCACUUAGUGACAAUUAUAGACUCUUCCAGAGCUACAUUUUUAUUAACGCCAAGGAUGACUGAAUGGAAUAACAUAAAUAACAUACACAAUAAGAAACAUAAAAGUCUGUUCAGUUACAUUGAGUAAUUCAUUAUUUAAAACUGGACUUUUGUCCCAUGAAUCUGGUCAUUACUGUCACAACAACCUUCAAUGUCACUUCUACCACUACAAGUCCCACUAACACGUGUAUAAAACCCAGCCAAAGUGUGUCAUUACAGAAUACAAUCAGGUUCAGACACAGAUGAAGGCACAACACACCGCAUUGAUUUGCGACUUUUCAAACUGAUUUUAAAAACACCGCUGUUGGUUUAUAUCAAGCACUGAAUUAUAUGGAUCAUUUCUGAUCCAUUGUUACAUUCAAAUCAGAGUUAAAUCAACAUUGCCGUUGACCUCUGUUCUGUUUAGGUCUUAUGUAAAGCACUUUGAACUGCUCUGCUGCUGAAAGAUGCAACGCAAACUCGCCUUGCCUCAGAAUAAUAUGUGUAGAAAAUAUCGACAUCUUGUCUAAAGUCAAUAUGUUGAAAGGGGUUCAAUCGGUGCGAACCGCCAUCAUAGAGCCUUGAAAAGAACCAUCCAUUAUUUCUGUUGUCUCUCGACGAAGACUGUGCUUGGAAACCUGGCAGAGAGAGUGGCGAGGGAGUCGGCCUGUCUAUUUACGUCCUCCCUUAAGCUUGGGCACCGUCUGAAAUUUACACUUGAAACCGCAGACAAUGUGGGGACCCCACUGCCGAGGACAGACACUGCAGCUCAUUAGGCAACGCCCGAGCCAAUCAGUGGAGGAAUUCAGAAGGCCGCUGGUCCCGGCAAUAAAGGGCCACUCUGUACAUUGCACAGGCUUCUCAUGUUCUGCCAAUCAUCACCACGCAAUUUUCCAUUGAGGCCAUGUAGAAGCCAAUAAUGUAACAACUUCCUGAUGAAAUAAAAACAAAACCUCUGAAGCAAGAAUACAUUAAUUUCUGUACGAAUAAUGCAAUAGUUAAUUACACAUCUACAGAAGGUUGUUUCAUUAUUGGGUUGACAAUACUUUUAUAGAACCCAAUGAUGUUAUAAUUUCCCAACUGUAAUAACUGGGCCAAUUUUGUAGUAGCAUGUCAUCAAUGAUAUGUUAAUGUAUUUUUGUGUAAUAACAUCAAAUAUGUAAAAGCCAAAUAAAUCUGUCUUUUUAUCUACA